This 254-nucleotide ribosomal RNA is filed under the name uncultured bacterium. RNAcentral's name for it is "partial 16S ribosomal RNA". It matches the Rfam family "Bacterial small subunit ribosomal RNA", at positions 524 to 776 of the family's 1533-position model. The record is from RNAcentral.
CACGUAGGGUGCGAGCGUUGUCCGGAAUUAUUGGGCGUAAAGAGCUCGUAGGCGGUGUGUCGCGUCGGCCGUGAAAACCUGCAGCUUAACUGUGGGCGUGCGGUCGAUACGGGCAUCACUGGAGUUCGGCAGGGGAGACUGGAAUUCCUGGUGUAGCGGUGAAAUGCGCAGAUAUCAGGAGGGACACCGGUGGCGAAGGCGGGUCUCUGGGCCGAUACUGACGCUGAGACGCGAAAGCGUGGGGAGCGAACAGG